This 253-nucleotide ribosomal RNA is filed under the name uncultured bacterium. RNAcentral's name for it is "partial 16S ribosomal RNA". It matches the Rfam family "Bacterial small subunit ribosomal RNA", at positions 524 to 776 of the family's 1533-position model. The record is from RNAcentral.
UACAGAGGGUGCGAGCGUUAAUCGGAUUUACUGGGCGUAAAGGGCGCGUAGGCGGAUAUAUGAGUGUGAUGUGAAAGCCCCGGGCUUAACCUGGGAAGUGCAUCGCAAACGAUAUAUCUGGAGUAGAUGAGAGGGUGGCGGAAUUUCCGGUGUAGCGGUGAAAUGCGUAGAGAUCGGAAGGAACGUCGAUGGCGAAGGCAGCCACCUGGCAUCAUACUGACGCUGAGGCGCGAAAGCGUGGGGAGCGAACAGG